This 2889-nucleotide ribosomal RNA is filed under the name Shigella boydii. RNAcentral describes it as "bacterial LSU rRNA". It matches the Rfam family "Bacterial large subunit ribosomal RNA". Lineage: Bacteria; Pseudomonadati; Pseudomonadota; Gammaproteobacteria; Enterobacterales; Enterobacteriaceae. The record is from RNAcentral.
ACUAAGCGUACACGGUGGAUGCCCUGGCAGUCAGAGGCGAUGAAGGACGUGCUAAUCUGCGAUAAGCGUCGGUAAGGUGAUAUGAACCGUUAUAACCGGCGAUUUCCGAAUGGGGAAACCCAGUGUGUUUCGACACACUAUCAUUAACUGAAUCCAUAGGUUAAUGAGGCGAACCGGGGGAACUGAAACAUCUAAGUACCCCGAGGAAAAGAAAUCAACCGAGAUUCCCCCAGUAGCGGCGAGCGAACGGGGAGCAGCCCAGAGCCUGAAUCAGUGUGUGUGUUAGUGGAAGCGUCUGGAAAGGCGCGCGAUACAGGGUGACAGCCCCGUACACAAAAAUGCACAUGCUGUGAGCUCGAUGAGUAGGGCGGGACACGUGGUAUCCUGUCUGAAUAUGGGGGGACCAUCCUCCAAGGCUAAAUACUCCUGACUGACCGAUAGUGAACCAGUACCGUGAGGGAAAGGCGAAAAGAACCCCGGCGAGGGGAGUGAAAAAGAACCUGAAACCGUGUACGUACAAGCAGUGGGAGCCUCUUUAUGGGGUGACUGCGUACCUUUUGUAUAAUGGGUCAGCGACUUAUAUUCUGUAGCAAGGUUAACCGAAUAGGGGAGCCGAAGGGAAACCGAGUCUUAACUGGGCGUUAAGUUGCAGGGUAUAGACCCGAAACCCGGUGAUCUAGCCAUGGGCAGGUUGAAGGUUGGGUAACACUAACUGGAGGACCGAACCGACUAAUGUUGAAAAAUUAGCGGAUGACUUGUGGCUGGGGGUGAAAGGCCAAUCAAACCGGGAGAUAGCUGGUUCUCCCCGAAAGCUAUUUAGGUAGCGCCUCGUGAAUUCAUCUCCGGGGUAGAGCACUGUUUCGGCAAGGGGGUCAUCCCGACUUACCAACCCGAUGCAAACUGCGAAUACCGGAGAAUGUUAUCACGGGAGACACACGGCGGGUGCUAACGUCCGUCGUGAAGAGGGAAACAACCCAGACCGCCAGCUAAGGUCCCAAAGUCAUGGUUAAGUGGGAAACGAUGUGGGAAGGCCCAGACAGCCAGGAUGUUGGCUUAGAAGCAGCCAUCAUUUAAAGAAAGCGUAAUAGCUCACUGGUCGAGUCGGCCUGCGCGGAAGAUGUAACGGGGCUAAACCAUGCACCGAAGCUGCGGCAGCGACGCUUAUGCGUUGUUGGGUAGGGGAGCGUUCUGUAAGCCUGUGAAGGUGUGCUGUGAGGCAUGCUGGAGGUAUCAGAAGUGCGAAUGCUGACAUAAGUAACGAUAAAGCGGGUGAAAAGCCCGCUCGCCGGAAGACCAAGGGUUCCUGUCCAACGUUAAUCGGGGCAGGGUGAGUCGACUCCUAAGGCGAGGCCGAAAGGCGUAGUCGAUGGGAAACAGGUUAAUAUUCCUGUACUUGGUGUUACUGCGAAGGGGGGACGGAGAAGGCUAUGUUGGCCGGGCGACGGUUGUCCCGGUUUAAGCGUGUAGGCUGAUUUUCCAGGCAAAUCCGGAAAAUCAAGGCUGAGGCGUGAUGACGAGGCACUACGGUGCUGAAGCAACAAAUGCCCUGCUUCCAGGAAAAGCCUCUAAGCAUCAGGUAACAUCAAAUCGUACCCCAAACCGACACAGGUGGUCAGGUAGAGAAUACCAAGGCGCUUGAGAGAACUCGGGUGAAGGAACUAGGCAAAAUGGUGCCGUAACUUCGGGAGAAGGCACGCUGAUAUGUAGGUGAAGUCCCUCGCGGAUGGAGCUGAAAUCAGUCGAAGAUACCAGCUGGCUGCAACUGUUUAUUAAAAACACAGCACUGUGCAAACACGAAAGUGGACGUAUACGGUGUGACGCCUGCCCGGUGCCGGAAGGUUAAUUGAUGGGGUCAGCGCAAGCGAAGCUCUUGAUCGAAGCCCCGGUAAACGGCGGCCGUAACUAUAACGGUCCUAAGGUAGCGAAAUUCCUUGUCGGGUAAGUUCCGACCUGCACGAAUGGCGUAAUGAUGGCCAGGCUGUCUCCACCCGAGACUCAGUGAAAUUGAACUCGCUGUGAAGAUGCAGUGUACCCGCGGCAAGACGGAAAGACCCCGUGAACCUUUACUAUAGCUUGACACUGAACAUUGAGCCUUGAUGUGUAGGAUAGGUGGGAGGCUUAGAAGUGUGGACGCCAGUCUGCAUGGAGCCGGCCUUGAAAUACCACCCUUUAAUGUUUGAUGUUCUAACGUGGACCCGUAAUCCGGGUUGCGGACAGUGUCUGGUGGGUAGUUUGACUGGGGCGGUCUCCUCCUAAAGAGUAACGGAGGAGCACGAAGGUUGGCUAAUCCUGGUCGGACAUCAGGAGGUUAGUGCAAUGGCAUAAGCCAGCUUGACUGCGAGCGUGACGGCGCGAGCAGGUGCGAAAGCAGGUCAUAGUGAUCCGGUGGUUCUAAAUGGAAGGGCCAUCGCUCAACGGAUAAAAGGUACUCCGGGGAUAACAGGCUGAUACCGCCCAAGAGUUCAUAUCGACGGCGGUGUUUGGCACCUCGAUGUCGGCUCAUCACAUCCUGGGGCUGAAGUAGGUCCCAAGGGUAUGGCUGUUCGCCAUUUAAAGUGGUACGCGAGCUGGGUUUAGAACGUCGUGAGACAGUUCGGUCCCUAUCUGCCGUGGGCGCUGGAGAACUGAGGGGGCUGCUCCUAGUACGAGAGGACCGGAGUGGACGCAUCACUGGUGUUCGGGUUGUCAUGCCAAUGGCACUGCCCGGUAGCUAAAUGCGGAAGAGAUAAGUGCUGAAAGCAUCUAAGCACGAAACUUGCCCGAGAUGAGUUCUCCCUGACUCCUUGAGAGUCCUGAAGGAACGUUGAAGACGACGACGUUGAUAGGCCGGGUGUGUAAGCGCAGCGAUGCGUUGAGCUAACCGGUACUAAUGAACCGUGAGGCUUAACC